This 393-nucleotide ribosomal RNA is filed under the name uncultured bacterium. Its description in RNAcentral is "bacterial SSU rRNA". It matches the Rfam family "Bacterial small subunit ribosomal RNA", at positions 417 to 793 of the family's 1533-position model. The record is from RNAcentral.
UCCGGGUUGUAAAGCACUUUCAGUCGUGAGGAAGGUAGUGUAGUUAAUAGCUGCAUUAUUUGACGUUAGCGACAGAAGAAGCACCGGCUAACUCCGUGCCAGCAGCCGCGGUAAUACGGAGGGUGCGAGCGUUAAUCGGAAUUACUGGGCGUAAAGCGCAUGCAGGUGGUUUGUUUAAGUUCAGAUGUGAAAGACCCGGGGCGUCAACCUCGGAAUAGCAUUUGAAACUAGGCAGACUAGAGUACUGUAGAGGGGGGUAGGAAGUUUCAGGUGUAGCGGUGAAAUAGCGUAGAGAUCUGAAGGAAUACCGGUGGCGAAGGCGGCCCCCUCGGACAGAUACUGACACUCAGAUGCGAAAGCGUGGGGAGCAAACAGGAUUAGAUACCCUGGUAG